RNAcentral lists this ribosomal RNA (436 nucleotides) under uncultured bacterium. Its description in RNAcentral is "bacterial SSU rRNA". It matches the Rfam family "Bacterial small subunit ribosomal RNA", at positions 202 to 631 of the family's 1533-position model. The record is from RNAcentral.
UCGCAAGACCUUGCGCUAAAGGAGCGGCCGAUGUCUGAUUAGCUAGUUGGUGGGGUAAAGGCCUACCAAGGCAACGAUCAGUAGCUGGUCUGAGAGGACGAUCAGCCACACUGGGACUGAGACACGGCCCAGACUCCUACGGGAGGCAGCAGUGGGGAAUUUUGGACAAUGGGCGAAAGCCUGAUCCAGCCAUGCCGCGUGAGUGAAGAAGGCCUUCGGGUUGUAAAGCUCUUUUAGUUGGAAAGAAAGAAUUAUAGUUAAUAGCUAUAAUUUAUGACGGUACCAACAGAAAAAGCACCGGCUAACUACGUGCCAGCAGCCGCGGUAAUACGUAGGGUGCGAGCGUUAAUCGGAAUUACUGGGCGUAAAGGGUGCGCAGGCGGCCAUGCAAGUCAGAUGUGAAAGCCCCGGGCUUAACCUGGGAAUUGCGUUUGAA